CUAGGUAAACCACCAAUAGGGCUAUUGGCGCUAAGUGGCAGCACUUUAAAUACAGCUGCAGCAUUAGUCAUGAAAUCGCCUACCAGGGGGAAUGAGAGCAGAGGGAAGGACUCCAGCAUUGUGGGUCUUACCAAGAUUCCAUGACAGGGGGAUAACAGAAAUAAUAUCUUGCUGGGAUCUUCCCUAUCAUCUGAACUGAUGCGGAACAUACCAUCUACUUUUGAAGGAGUCUGAUGCAGGCACAAUCAUCAAAAUGUGCAUUUAACUGGCCUG
Molecule: long non-coding RNA, 273 nt
Organism: Bufo bufo (common toad)
Lineage: Eukaryota; Metazoa; Chordata; Amphibia; Anura; Bufonidae
Exons: 3
Source: RefSeq, a predicted model, not a curated record